Molecule: non-coding RNA, 453 nt
Filed under: Homo sapiens (human)
Lineage: Eukaryota; Metazoa; Chordata; Mammalia; Primates; Hominidae
Source: RNAcentral
AGUCAAGGAAACUUUUGAGCUAUUUACAGCUUGUAGCAAUUAUGUAAAGUAUACUCCUCUGAACAAAAUUUGGAGCAUGUUUGUUUCUCUCUACCUGAUUUCCCCAGAAUCUGGAAACUAUCUAUAUUUAUUGAGUGUCUACUGUGUGCCAGGCACUAUAUCUAUGUGCAUAGAAAAACCCUGGAAGGCCAUACAACAAUAUAUAUAGAGUGAUCGUCUCUGCUUGCUGAGCUAACAGGGGUGUCAAGCUUCCAUUUUGGUAUCUACUUCUAAAUACACUCAGAACAGGAGAAAUUUGGACUAAUUUUCAAACUACAGACACUUUCUAAUCAUGAUGCAUUUCAAAAGUGGACUCGAAUUAACUGAGUUGCAAAACAUGACAGUGCCCGAGGAUGAUAACAUUAGCAAUGACUCCAAUGAUUUCACCGAAGUAGAAAAUGGUCAGAUAAAUAG